Molecule: long non-coding RNA, 1039 nt
Organism: Pezoporus occidentalis (night parrot)
Lineage: Eukaryota; Metazoa; Chordata; Aves; Psittaciformes; Psittacidae
Exons: 3
Source: RefSeq, a predicted model, not a curated record
UCCAGGUGUGGGCAGUGAUGAUGCAGAUGCUCUCGACUUCCCUUUUCCACCUGGGGAACUGUUCCUUCUCCUACAUGCUCCUGUUGGUUUCCUCUUCCCCACUCCCUUUUCCCAACAGCCACCAGGCUUGAUCCUGUGCUUCCCUUGGAGCAAAGUCAUAGUCUGUUGGGUGCUCUUUGGAUCUUGAUUGAGUUCCUGGAGGGCCAGACACCCUCUUGACUUCCCCAGCAGAGAUCCCUAUCCAUCUGUCUGGUGUAGAGUAUGAUGGCACCAGGAUAUGUGGCUAUAGAGGCUAUAGCUUCUUAUGUUUUCUUGCUUAUGUUAACACAAAGGGCUUUCAUUUGAAAGAGAUGGAAACAGUAAGACUUGGCCUAAUGAAGUUGUUUGUGGAACAUGAAGAUACAGGCAGAAAACAAGAGACUAUGCAUAGGCAACCUUCAGCACUUGAGUUACGGCUUACUGUACCACAGCUUCUUGCCUCUGCUACCCUGGCCUCUGCUGCUGUGGCAUAUUUGCCAUGGACCAGGCAUGCAUACACACAUUAAACAAGAUUUCAGAUGAUCUGAAUUCAUCCAUCCACUCCUACGGAGAUGACAUGGCUUAGAGCAUAACACUUCACUUAGCCACUGACCCACUGCAGGGUUUUGGUAGGGGUGUUCUGUAUUCCUAUAUGUUCAAAGUGCCUAAAGGUGGUGAAAAGAAAUCACUACAGUUAUGAGAGGCUGCAUGGCAUGUUUCCCAGCAAACCAGGCUUCUCCACAAAGGGUAUUUCUCUGUGAUACCUUUCUUCUGUCUUUCUUAUUCUGCUCACAAUAAGUCAUAGACCAAUUAUUUCUAGCUGGUGUUUGUAUCAAUGGGAAAUGAAAUGUGUAUCUCUUCACCAGAGCAAUGAGAGGGGAAAAAUAACGAGCCAAACGUACAGUUAACUCCUUUUAACUUCUUUUCAUAGGUAGCUGAAUGCAUUUCACUAAUUUAAUCUAGUCCUAAGUGCUGACUGUAUUUUACAGAGAUGUAUUUUAUGUAUUAUGGAUAAUGAGAG